This 4005-nucleotide long non-coding RNA is filed under the name Vigna radiata. RNAcentral's name for it is "long non-coding RNA (VRAD_LNC004451)". The record is from RNAcentral. Lineage: Eukaryota; Viridiplantae; Streptophyta; Magnoliopsida; Fabales; Fabaceae.
GGAUUUAAGACUCUUUCUAAGUUUUCAAAUUUUUUUAUAUUAUAUUCAGUAUUAAUAUCAAUUGAGGACUUAGAAAGACGGUGCAAUUCCGUUAAUUUAUUAUUUUUUUAUAAUAUUCUUAAAUUUUUGACAAACAACUUUUUUUUGUUUCAUUGUCGUGUCUGUCUUUCUAUUACAAUGGUGGUCGUGAUGCAAUGGCGACGGUGGACUGAGCAUCAACAAUUCCAAGGUGGAGUGGGAGGAUGAGAAGAUGAGAGGAAAGGGGGGAGAAGGAGAAGAAAAAAAAAAAAGAAUGUGAAGGAAAGGAAGAAGAAGACCAGAUUAUGACAUCUACAAAUUAAUUUUACGGACCAUUAGAAUAUGUUAAUAAUUACUAACAAAUAUUUAUCAAUGGAUUUGAGUUCAUCCAACAGAUUUCACACUUUUAUUAAUGUAAGUCAAAAUCCACUCUUAUUAUUUCAUUUUACAUAUUUUAGAAGUUAACUUAACCAUGUAAAUUUACAUUCUUCCUUGUUCCAUACCCAUGUGUCCUACCUUUCCUUAUCUAUAGUUACACUUUCAAUAUUUUUGUUUCAAAGUUGCACUUGAGGGAACUCCCAUUCAAACCAACCCCUUCUCCAUUUCAAUCAUUAUUCCUAUAAGUGGUUAUUCCAUCUUCUUAGUUUUUCAAUUGUCUUCAUCUUAGUUGAAACAACAAAUAAUACAACAUAUAACUUAUCCACUUACUGAAAACUUAAUUUUACUCCUUGUUCAUAUCCUGCAAGUAAUAUUCUCCUAGAAUUGAACUAAUUUUCACUUCUUUGAUUGAUUUCAUAAUAUCUCUCUUCAACUAAGGUUCAAAUUUGUUAUCAGUAUGUCAUCCUCAUUGUUCCCUGUUUAAGCUCUAGCACUUAUUUUUAUCAUCAUCAAGGACACUAGGAUGGUUGACAAGAUCAUUAGUAUUCUUCAAAAUAUCAUUUUCUAGGUAAAAUUGUGCACAAGAAGUAAUAGGUGCUUUAAGUGUAUCUUCCAAUUCCCUUGGUUCUUCUAGUGUACUUGGUUCCUCCAUUGCAUCCUCAUCAACAUAUAAAAUUUUAUAUUUACAUUAAGCAACAUCAUCAUAUCCAUCAGUAGAUAUAUCAAUGUGAUGCAAUUUUAUAAUUGGUUGUUGAUUUGAUCAUUGAAUCUUGAUAUCGUUCACAUCAGGUAUCAAAUUUUGCAACCUUUGAUUCAUGUCAUCCAUCAUCUGAUUCACUUCAGUUUUAUGCUCAGUCAUCGUUUUCAUCAUCUUUUCUGAAGUGGCCUCCUUAGCUUUGUCAUUCACUAGCUGACUUAAAUCAUCAAACAUUUGUUUUGUUCUAAUAGCAAAUGUAGAAGCAUAUCUUCUAUGUCAUAUGAUGAAGUGUUCCAAACUUUGUACUUUCAAGAAAUCUCGAAUGAAAUUUGUUGGUAGAACUAAAAGUUAGAAGUAAUUCUAUAAAGUUGUUGUUACUUGCAUCCUCUAUCGUGUUGUAUAAUAUUUUGUUGUUUCCGUACCGCUCAUGCUCAAUACUUUUCCAUCGUUGAUCAUCUUACAAUUAUCUAUGACUUCAAGUGUCUUUCUUACUCCAUCCAUUGAUAACACGACUUCCUUAUAGGAUGGUCCAUUGGUUGUUGCAACUUGUUGUAGUAGUGCAUGUUGUUGCUCUUAUGAACCAAAUGGAACAAAUGAUGGAUGGGGUGACACAAAAUGUGAUUGUUGCUCAUAUUUAGAGAAAGAUGAUCUAAGGUAUAAAUAAUUCAGUUGAUGUAUAGUCAACUUACUUAUAUCAGGUACAAUAAUAAGCGUGAUAAUUUGUUGUUGAUAACCAUAUGAACCAUGUGAUUGCUCUAUACAAUAAUCACAGUUCAUUUGAAAAUCAUACUCUUGAUUAUUUUCAUGUGAAAUAAUUAUUUAUAUUUGUUUAAAGAUGUAUUCUGAAAAAAAAUAAGUUAAAAACUUGUUUAGUAGUCUUCUAAGAAGAACUCAAUUGACAACUUAAAACCUUAUUUUUUUCGCAGUCAAAAUAUUUUCAAUCUAUUUUCACAAAUUUUCCAAAAAAGUUCUUCACCCAAAAAUUAUGCUAAAAAAAUAAUAAUAAAUUUACAAAUUAAAAUAACUAAAGAAAAUAAAACAAAUAUUAGAAAAAUAGAGAAAAAGCAUAAAUAAAAAUAAAAUAAGAACAAAAUAUUAACUUUUUUUUUUCAAUUCAAAUAAUUACACAUUACAGAAAAUUAGUUACACUUUUAUCAUUAGUAACUACUUUUUCAAAGUUAAAUAACUACUAAUAAUAAAAAAAAUUAUUUAAACAAUAUUACUUGUAAUAUUUUAUUUUAAUAACUACAAUUUAUUUUAUUUAUAACUAUUAAGGUAAUCACGUGUCCAUAUUUUUUAAAUAUUUAUAUUACAUUAGUUAAAAAUAUAUGUAGAUUAAGCAAGUAAUUAUGUAAGAGACGAAUCAUGAGAAUAAUAAAAAAUCUCUUAUUGUCAACCGUAGAAACUAACUAUGAAUAUAAUGAAAAAAAAAGAGAGACAAUUUUAUACAAAAUAUUUCAAAAUACAGGUACUUCUGAAGUGUAAGUUAACAAUUAUAUUUUAAAAAAUCAGUUAAUAAUUAUUUUAUAAAGAAUAAAAAAAAAAUCAUUUUUAUAUUUAAAUAUACAUACGGUAGUUAUUAUAAUUAUUUACGGAACUUAAUUUUACUUAUACGGACACAUUUUUUUUAUAAAAGGAUGUUUAAAAUUUUUAAAUGGUCAUAAACUCCAAUUCAAAGAAGGCCAGGUCUAUUUAUCCUUUUCUUUCUAAAAACAAAAGUAACAUAAGCCAUGUAUGCAUGAUAUGAGACCAUUGCUUUUUGCAACCAACAAUUAUUAACCGCACCCUCUGAAAAAUGUAAAACAACUCAAACAUCUUCGACACUACUGCACGCACCAACACUUCUACUAUCUUCACCGCCACCACCUUUUCCAUUAUUAUGUAAAGGGAGAAGAGAGAGAAAAUACGAAAAAAUAAAUUGUUCCAAAAUAUAUAUUUCAUAUAUUUCGAAAAACUGUUCGAGAUUGUAUUUCAUGCAUUCAGAAAAUUUUAAUCAGAAAUUAUUUUUCUGGAAGUUCUAUUUCACAAAUUUGAUUAUGUAAACUUUGUUUCUAAAAUUUCGUUUCAAAAAUAUUAUUCUAAAAAUUUUGCAAAAGUUUAUGAAAAUAAUUUUUAGAAUGUUUAUUUCAAAAAUCACUUUUCAAAUAAGAAAAUGGUCAUUUUAUAAAUUUGGUAGGUGGACGGAGAUAUUGAGGGAGUGCAAGAAGUAAUAGGCAUGUUCAUAUUGAUAAUGCCGAUAUAAGCCCAUAAGCCCAUUGAUUAAAGAUGCAUUCAGGCUGGGCCUUUGGUUAGAGCCCAAUAUUUCCUAGGGUUUCUUGUAGGCUAUAAAUUGCUGCAUCAUUAUCAUGUUUUGUCUUCUUAGUCCUCCGUUAGUUCUCAGCAGCAAUCGGCUAGGGUUCGGAUUUGAAGAAGGGUCGGGAGUUUGUUCACCAUGAGGGCCAAGGUAUCGUCCUUUCUACGCUGUUGAUUAUUUCGUUUCCUUUUGUCUAUUAUGAGGUUCAGCUCUGAUUACGAUCGCUUCUCUUCUUGUAGUGGAAGAAGAAGCGUAUGAGGAGAUUGAAGAGGAAGCGCCGAAAGAUGAGACAGAGAUCCAAGUAGUGCUUUAAUCUUAGUUUGUUUCUGUUGAAUUUUACAGUUGUUUAUGUUCUCAAAUGGAAGCUCAGUAGUUAGUGUUACUGGCUUUUCCUUUUUGUGUUUUGAUACAUUUUGUUGGCUUUAAUUAGUUUAUGUUUGGUUUUGUCUUAUUAGCUCGAAACAAUGUGCGAAUCAACAAAAUUUCUUAUUUGCAUCUCUGCUUUUCUCAUUGCUAUUUCGCCUAGAUGUUUCCCUAAACUUUUUAGGGCGAUUAUAAUUUUAGUUUAUUUCUACGUCAAUUUUUUCCGAUUUAAUUAGUUGGUCUUUUGAUUGGAAUG